UCAAAGCAGUACCGAUCGUCUUUUCUGGACUGGCCUCCGUGCCGAGAUUGGCCUCCUUGCCGCCUCUAUCUCUGACCUCUUCUUCCACCCCCGCUCCGGCCCCUCUCCCUCCCAUCUCCGGCGGCCACGGCGGCCGGCGGUGAGUGGGUGGGGGGCUCGGUUCUUGUGCCAUAUGUAUAGUUGUAGGAGUAGGACUUUCCUCCACAGUAAACCAGAUCUGAGGCCUUCUUUCUUGCUUCGUGGGAUCUUUGUUUUGGCCAUACUGACUGGAAUAAAGGUCACCGGAGCUGACCAUAUGCCUGGAUCUGUUGCUCUUCCCCUAAAUAAAGGUGUGGAUGAAGGUUCUGGUGUGCUUGAUUCGGAUUUUUCUUCUUCCCGAGUCGCUCUUGUCUUCAUGGAGAAGAGAAGAGAGGCAGAGGAGGUGAAGAAUGCCUGGAUCUGGCGUUGUAUGUCGUGUAUCUCCCUGAUGUGGAAAAGGAUCUUCCACUCAUUUUCGAUUCCGGAUGCCGCCAUGGUGGUGGAUAAGGAGAAGGGGAGGAGCAGAGAGAUGGAAACAGCAGAUGGGGUGAGAGCUCACCAUCGAUGGUGCUUUAGGCAAGGCUACGGUGCCCGUGAUUGGCAGCCGGCCUUUCUCGCCUCGCCAUCGAUUCUUCUGGCCGAAAGGCGGCCAUGGUUAUUCCUCCCGGCCUCGAUGCCAAAGGGGAGGCAGGGCGAUCAAAUACUGGCAAUCAACUACAUAUCUUCAGCAUUUCACUGAAAAAAUAGGACAAACAAGCAAGAAUACACUGAAGCAGUAUCAUCCAAGCAGCUCAAAGCAAGUCUCCAAGCAGCUCAAAGCAAGAUCAUGCCGGGCAACGACCUCACUAUGCAUGCCGUUACUGUCGGUGGCGUCUUUGUUUACAUGCAUGACAGAAGCAACUUACGGGGCAUGAAGAAGACAAUAACUGUUGCACGUGCUUGGUCCCAAGCUAAGCUACGCCCGCCUGAAUUAGAAAUUGGCGAAGCGCGUUAUUGUAUCAUCACUUAUGUCUGAAUUAGAGUAUAUGAUAACCGUCUUGCAAACAAAAUAUUCAGUUUCUCUGUUCCUAUAAGAAAAAUAGAAAACCAGAAGCCAUCAGUGUGUAAUGCCAUCUAUCAACACAAGGCCAUAAAUUUUAUUUAACUUUGAA
Molecule: long non-coding RNA, 1169 nt
Organism: Triticum dicoccoides
Lineage: Eukaryota; Viridiplantae; Streptophyta; Magnoliopsida; Poales; Poaceae
Exons: 2
Source: RefSeq, a predicted model, not a curated record